CCUACGGGUGGCAGCAGUGGGGAAUAUUGCACAAUGGGGGGAACCCUGAUGCAGCAACGCCGCGUGGGUGAAGAAGUACUCCGGUAUGUAAAGCCCUGUCAGCAGGGAAGAAAAUGACGGUACCUGACCAAGAAGCCCCGGCUAACUACGUGCCAGCAGCCGCGGUAAUACGUAGGGGGCAAGCGUUAUCCGGAUUUACUGGGUGUAAAGGGAGCGUAGACGGCAAGGCAAGUCUGGAGUGAAAGCCCGGGGCCCAAGCACGGGACUGCUUUGGAAACUGUGUUGCUGGAGUGUAGGAGGGGUAAGCGGAAGUCCUAGUGUAGCGGUGAAAUGCGUAGAUAUCGCGCAGAACUCCGAUUGCGAAGGCAGCGUACCGGCGCCGGACUGACGCUGAGGCACGAAAGCGUGGGUAUCGAACAGGAUUAGAUACCCCGGUAGUC
This 440-nucleotide ribosomal RNA is filed under the name uncultured bacterium. RNAcentral's name for it is "partial 16S ribosomal RNA". It matches the Rfam family "Bacterial small subunit ribosomal RNA", at positions 338 to 795 of the family's 1533-position model. The record is from RNAcentral.